RNAcentral lists this ribosomal RNA (493 nucleotides) under uncultured bacterium. Its description in RNAcentral is "bacterial SSU rRNA". It matches the Rfam family "Bacterial small subunit ribosomal RNA", at positions 355 to 865 of the family's 1533-position model. The record is from RNAcentral.
UGGGGAAUAUUGGACAAUGGGCGCAAGCCUGAUCCAGCAAUGCCGCGUGAGUGAUGAAGGCCUUCGGGUUGUAAAGCUCUUUCGCCUGCGAGGAUGAUGACGGUAGCAGGAGAAGAAGCCCCGGCUAACUUCGUGCCAGCAGCCGCGGUAAUACGAAGGGGGCGAGCGUUGUUCGGAUUUACUGGGCGUAAAGGGCGCGUAGGCGGCGAUGUAAGUCAGGCGUGAAAGCCCCGGGCUCAACCUGGGAGGUGCGCUUGGGACUACAUUGCUGGAGUUCGGGAGAGGAGCGUGGAAUUCCCAGUGUAGAGGUGAAAUUCGUAGAUAUUGGGAAGAACACCGGUGGCGAAGGCGGCGCUCUGGACCGAUACUGACGCUGAGGCGCGAAAGCGUGGGGAGCAAACAGGAUUAGAUACCCUGGUAGUCCACGCUGUAAACGAUGUGUGCUUGACGUUGGGGAGCCUAGCUCUUCGGUGUCGCCGCUAACGCUGUAAGC